Molecule: ribosomal RNA, 501 nt
Filed under: uncultured bacterium
Lineage: Bacteria
Description: partial 16S ribosomal RNA
Rfam family: Bacterial small subunit ribosomal RNA
Source: RNAcentral
AUUGAACGCUGGCGGCAGGCUUAACACAUGCAAGUCGAGCGGGGGAAGGUAGCUUGCUACCGGACCUAGCGGCGGACGGGUGAGUAAUGCUUAGGAAUCUGCCUAUUAGUGGGGGACAACAUCUCGAAAGGGAUGCUAAUACCGCAUACGUCCUACGGGAGAAAGCAGGGGAUCUUCGGACCUUGCGCUAAUAGAUGAGCCUAAGUCGGAUUAGCUAGUUGGUGGGGUAAAGGCCUACCAAGGCGACGAUCUGUAGCGGGUCUGAGAGGAUGAUCCGCCACACUGGGACUGAGACACGGCCCAGACUCCUACGGGAGGCAGCAGUGGGGAAUAUUGGACAAUGGGGGGAACCCUGAUCCAGCCAUGCCGAGUGUGUGAAGAAGGCCUUAUGGUUGUAAAGCACUUUAAGCGAGGAGGAGGCUACUCUAGUUAAUACCUAGGGAUAGUGGACGUUACUCGCAGAAUAAGCACCGGCUAACUCUGUGCCAGCAGCCGCGGUAA